This 375-nucleotide unclassified non-coding RNA is filed under the name uncultured bacterium. RNAcentral describes it as "contains 16S-23S intergenic spacer region". The record is from RNAcentral.
UCCGAGUUGACCCCGGCAGUCUCCUGAGAGUGCCCGGCAUUACCCGGUAGCAACACAGGACAAGGGUUGCGCUCGUUGCGGGACUUAACCCAACAUCUCACGACACGAGCUGACGACAACCAUGCACCACCUGUAUACCGACCUUGCGGGGAGAACAUUUCUGAACUUUUCCGGUAUAUGUCAAGUCUCGGUAAGGUUCUUCGCGUUGCGUCGAAUUGAACCACAUGCUCCGCUGCUUGUGCGGGCCCCCGUCAAUUCCUUUGAGUUUCAACCUUGCGGCCGUACUCCCCAGGCGGACAACUUAACGCGUUAGCUGCGACACUGGGAGGCUUACCCUCUCAACGUCUAGUUGUCAUCGUUUAUGGCGUGGACUAC